AACGAACGCUGGCGGCAGGCUUAACACAUGCAAGUCGAACGCCCCGCAAGGGGAGUGGCAGACGGGUGAGUAACGCGUGGGAACAUACCCUUUCCUGCGGAAUAGCCCCGGGAAACUGGAAUUAAUACCGCAUACGCCCUACGGGGGAAAGAUUUAUCGGGGAAGGAUUGGCCCGCGUUGGAUUAGCUAGUUGGUGGGGUAAAGGCCUACCAAGGCGACGAUCCAUAGCUGGUCUGAGAGGAUGAUCAGCCACAUUGGGACUGAGACACGGCCCAAACUCCUACGGGAGGCAGCAGUGGGGAAUAUUGGACAAUGGGCGCAAGCCUGAUCCAGCCAUGCCGCGUGAGUGAUGAAGGCCUUAGGGUUGUAAAGCUCUUUCACCGAUGAAGAUAAUGACGGUAGUCGGAGAAGAAGCCCCGGCUAACUUCGUG
This 431-nucleotide ribosomal RNA is filed under the name uncultured bacterium. RNAcentral describes it as "partial 16S ribosomal RNA". It matches the Rfam family "Bacterial small subunit ribosomal RNA", at positions 29 to 507 of the family's 1533-position model. The record is from RNAcentral.